GACGAACGCUGGCGGCGUGCUUAACACAUGCAAGUCAAGGGGGCUGUGGGGGCAACUCUGCGGCAACCGGCGAACGGGUGCGUAACACGUGAGCGACCUACCGCGGUGCGGGGGAUAGCC
This 120-nucleotide ribosomal RNA is filed under the name uncultured bacterium. Its description in RNAcentral is "partial 16S ribosomal RNA". It matches the Rfam family "Bacterial small subunit ribosomal RNA", at positions 28 to 148 of the family's 1533-position model. The record is from RNAcentral.